AGGGGUGUAAUUUAAAUGGAAGAAUACCGGUCUCCAAAAUCGGAAGUUGAGAGUUCGAUUCUCUCCACCCCUG
This 73-nucleotide transfer RNA is filed under the name Arsenophonus sp. RNAcentral's name for it is "tRNA-Trp". It matches the Rfam family "tRNA". From Rfam's summary of the family: Transfer RNA (tRNA) molecules are approximately 80 nucleotides in length. Their secondary structure includes four short double-helical elements and three loops (D, anti-codon, and T loops). Further hydrogen bonds mediate the characteristic L-shaped molecular structure. tRNAs have two regions of fundamental functional importance: the anti-codon, which is responsible for specific mRNA codon recognition, and the 3' end, to which the tRNAs corresponding amino acid is attached (by aminoacyl-tRNA synthetases). tRNAs cope with the degeneracy of the genetic code in two manners: having more than one tRNA (with a specific anti-codon) for a particular amino acid; and 'wobble' base-pairing, i.e. permitting non-standard base-pairing at the 3rd anti-codon position. The record is from RNAcentral. Lineage: Bacteria; Pseudomonadati; Pseudomonadota; Gammaproteobacteria; Enterobacterales; Morganellaceae.